This 254-nucleotide ribosomal RNA is filed under the name uncultured bacterium. RNAcentral's name for it is "partial 16S ribosomal RNA". It matches the Rfam family "Bacterial small subunit ribosomal RNA", at positions 524 to 776 of the family's 1533-position model. The record is from RNAcentral.
UACGGAGGGUGCAAGCGUUGUUCGGAAUUACUGGGCGUAAAUGCGCACGUAGGCGGCUUUGUAAGUUAGAGGUGAAAGCCCGGGGCUCAACCCCGGAAUAGCCUUUAAGACUGCAUCGCUUGAACACGGGAGAGGUGAGUGGAAUUCCGAGUGUAGAGGUGAAAUUCGUAGAUAUUCGCAAGAACACCAGUGGCGAAGGCGGCUCACUGGCCCGAUACUGACGCCGAGGUGCGAAAGCGUGGGGAGCAAACAGG